GAUGAACGCUGGCAGCGUGCCUAAUACAUGCAAGUCGAGCGAACAGACGAGGAGCUUGCUCCUCUGACGUUAGCGGCGGACGGGUGAGUAAAACGUGGAUAACCUACCUAUAAGACUGGGAUAACUUCGGGAAACCGGAGCUAAUACCGGAUAAUAUAUUGAACCGCAUGGUUCAAUAGUGAAAGACGGUUUUGCUGUCACUUAUAGAUGGAUCCGCGCCGCAUUAGCUAGUUGGUAAGGUAACGGCUUACCAAGGCAACGAUGCGUAGCCGACCUGAGAGGGUGAUCGGCCACACUGGAACUGAGACACGGUCCAGACUCCUACGGGAGGCAGCAGUAGGGAAUCUUCCGCAAUGGGCGAAAGCUUGACGGAGCAACGCCGCGUGAGUGAUGAAGGUCUUCGGAUCGUAAAACUCUGUUAUUAGGGAAGAACAAAUGUGUAAGUAACUAUGCACGUCUUGACGGUACCUAAUCAGAAAGCCACGGCUAACUACGUG
Molecule: ribosomal RNA, 497 nt
Filed under: uncultured bacterium
Lineage: Bacteria
Description: partial 16S ribosomal RNA
Rfam family: Bacterial small subunit ribosomal RNA
Source: RNAcentral